RNAcentral lists this long non-coding RNA (1490 nucleotides) under Vombatus ursinus (common wombat). RNAcentral's name for it is "lncRNA (ENSVURG00010012274.1)". Lineage: Eukaryota; Metazoa; Chordata; Mammalia; Diprotodontia; Vombatidae. The record is from RNAcentral.
GGGAAGCCCUAUAGGGGCGCGGCACCGGUUUUGAAAGCGAGGCUGCUGGGACGACGACGACUCGUGCAGCAAAGGUGCUCCCGACCACGAGUUCUUCGAGUUCUUCGAGUUCUUCUGCUUCCCGGACGGACGCAGCGAGAGACCGGCGAGUUGCCAUGCAGUCUCCCAGCAACACCCUUGGGUACAGAGCUAGCUUUGCCGAAGAGGCAAAGGUCAUUUCGGAGCAGCUGCAAGGUCAGGGGGGAGCAGAUAUAUCUACCAUAGAAGCCGAGCUCCCACCUCCCGACUUGAGUUCCUCCGCCUCUUUUCUGGACCUACCAAGCAGUGACGAGGCCCAGGUGCAGCCCAGUGACCGCUCACUUCCCCCCGCUAUUCUCGACCCUGUGCAGGAGCCUUCCCCGGCCACCCCCAGUGACCAGGGCCUUCUGUUUCUCAAAAGGCUGCUAGCUUUGGAGGAGGCUGCCAGCCCUGGCAGUCUGGUCAGAUGGGAGCUCUGUAGCCUGUCGCCUGAUGCUGUGCAGGCUGCUGAUCCCUGCUCCUUGGCCCCCCAGCCAAGCACUGAGCUCAAUAAGACCUGUCUGCUUAGCUCAGGCACUCCCCUGCCUCAAGCAGCCCAGCCAGAAGGCAGCCAGGCUCCAGAUGACCAGGCCAGUGAGGAAGGGGCUCUCCUCCAAGUGCAGGACCUCUCAGACAUCCUCAUCAAUAAGACUUUCUUCUUUAGCAGGGCUCCCAUUGGGACCUCCACCCCAUAUGGAGCUCCAGAAGGGCUGAGGCUGCUUGAAGGGGCAUCUUUUUUCUCCUUCCCAGAGAUCCCCCAAGCUCAGGAAGCACCCGGUGUGGCUGAGGCGGCCCAGCCCAGUGCCAGACGCCCCCAGAGGCCUCGAGUAGCCACAGGCAGCCCGCCUAAGGCCACCCCAAAAAGUGGCCCUCUGGGGAAGCUGGGCCAGGAGAACCGAUCCCUGGCUGGGGCCUCUUUAGCUGUUUCCAGGAGGGGGCAUCAGGCCCUUCCUCUGCCUGGGCAGAAAAGAUGGUCACCUGUCCCCUUCAAAACUUCCCACUUGCCUGUCCUGUGCAAGUCCAGAAGGGAACCCUUGGCAUCUCCAGGAGCUAGGCAGCAGAAAGGCAGGAUCUGUGAGGCGGGCAGGAUGAAGGAAGCAGAACCACCUGCCAAGGCAGGGAAUAAUCCACCCUCGGCAGUCAAGGUGUCUCAAUUCCUCCACAGCAAAUCGACGCCACCUCGAAUCUUGCAUCAGAGGGGUCCCAGUGCUUGGGACUCUAAAUCCAGGGACCCUCAGGCAGCUCGAAUUUUGAAGCCCUUGCCUUGUAACCAGGGCACCCGAUCCAGAGUCCCGUCCAGGACAGGUAAGUCCUCUGAGCUUGGGAGUUUGGGAAAAGAGGGAGAACUUGGGCACACAUUCACUCCCCAGGCUCUAGUCUCCCUUCCCAGCCGAGCAUCCUUUAGGAACUAGGGCUAUGAGCCGAACAAGCUG